This 30-nucleotide ribosomal RNA is filed under the name Tulasnella sp. JTO307. Its description in RNAcentral is "partial 18S ribosomal RNA". Lineage: Eukaryota; Fungi; Basidiomycota; Agaricomycetes; Cantharellales; Tulasnellaceae. The record is from RNAcentral.
UCCGUAGGUGAACCUGGGGAAGGAUCAUAG